AACGAACGCUGGCGGCGUGGAUUAGGCAUGCAAGUCGUACGCGAAAGGUUCCUUCGGGGGCCGAGUAGAGUGGCGAACUGGUGAGUACAAGGUGAAUAACGUGCCUCGAAGUGGGGGAUAACUUCGCGAAAGCGGAGCUAAUACCGCAUGGUCUUUCUUAUAUAACAGUGAGAAAGUAAAGCAGCAAUGCGCUUCGAGAUCGGUUCACCUCCCAUUAGCUAGUUGGUGGGGUAAUGGCCCACCAAGGCUUCGAUGGGUAGCUGGUCUGAGAGGAUGGUCAGCCACACUGGGACUGAGAUACGGCCCAGACUCCUACGGGGGGCAGCAGUCUAGAGGCUUCGACAAUGCCCGAAAGGGUGAUCGAGCGACGCCGCGUGCGGGAUGAAGGGCUUCGGCUUGUAAACCGCUUUUCCUUGGGAAGAAGGCCCGCUUCGUGAAAGUGGGAUUGACGGUACCAGGGGAAUAAGCCCCGGCUAACUCCGUGC
This 485-nucleotide ribosomal RNA is filed under the name uncultured bacterium. Its description in RNAcentral is "bacterial SSU rRNA". It matches the Rfam family "Bacterial small subunit ribosomal RNA", at positions 29 to 508 of the family's 1533-position model. The record is from RNAcentral.